This is a small nuclear RNA of Marmota flaviventris (yellow-bellied marmot), 108 nucleotides long. The record is from RefSeq and is a predicted model, not a curated record. Lineage: Eukaryota; Metazoa; Chordata; Mammalia; Rodentia; Sciuridae.
AUGCUCAUUUCAGCAGCACAUAUGUUAAAAUUGGAAUGAUACAGAGAAGAUUAGCAUGGCCCCUGCGCAACAAUGACAUGCAAAUUCAUGAAGCGUUUCCACAUUCUU